This 292-nucleotide ribosomal RNA is filed under the name uncultured bacterium. RNAcentral's name for it is "partial 16S ribosomal RNA". It matches the Rfam family "Bacterial small subunit ribosomal RNA", at positions 505 to 796 of the family's 1533-position model. The record is from RNAcentral.
GUGCCAGCAGCCGCGGUAAUACAGAGGUGGCAAGCGUUGUUCGGAAUUACUGGGCGUAAAGGGCGCGUAGGCGGUUUUGUAAGUCCCGCGUGAAAUCCCCCGGCUCAACUGGGGAACUGCGCGGGAAACUGCAAGGCUUGAGUUCGGGAGAGGGAAGCGGAAUUCCGGGUGUAGCGGUGAAAUGCGUAGAUAUCCGGAGGAACACCGGUGGCGAAGGCGGCUUCCUGGACCGACACUGACGCUGAGGCGCGAAAGCUAGGGGAGCAAACGGGAUUAGAAACCCCCGUAGUCC